AUUGAACGCUGGCGGCAGGCCUAACACAUGCAAGUCGAACGAGUGGCGGACGGGUGAGUAAUGUCUGGGAAACUGCCCGAUGGAGGGGGAUAACUACUGGAAACGGUAGCUAAUACCGCAUACCAUCGGAUGUGCCUAGAUGGGAUUAGCUAGUAGGUGGGGUAACGGCUCACCUGGGCGACGAUCCCUAGCUGGUCUGAGAGGAUGACCAUCCACACUGGAACUGAGACACUGUCCAGACUCCUACGGGAGGCAGCAGAGGGGAAUAUUGCACAAUGGGCGCAAGCCUGAUGCAGCCAUGCCUCGUGUGGGAAGAAGGCCUUCGGGUUGUAAAGCACUUUCAGCGAGGAGGCGUUACUCGCAGAAGAAGCACCGGCUAACUCCGUGCCAGCAGCCGCGGUAAUUC
RNAcentral lists this ribosomal RNA (406 nucleotides) under uncultured bacterium. RNAcentral describes it as "partial 16S ribosomal RNA". It matches the Rfam family "Bacterial small subunit ribosomal RNA", at positions 30 to 526 of the family's 1533-position model. The record is from RNAcentral.